UUUAAGCUUCCUACGGGAGGCUGCAGUGGGGAAUCUUGCGCAAUGGGCGAAAGCCUGACGCAGCCAUGCCGCGUGAAUGAUGAAGGUCUUAGGAUUGUAAAAUUCUUUCACCGGGGACGAUAAUGACGGUACCCGGAGAAGAAGCCCCGGCUAACUUCGUGCCAGCAGCCGCGGUAAUACGAAGGGGGCUAGCGUUGCUCGGAAUUACUGGGCGUAAAGGGAGCGUAGGCGGACAUUUAAGUCAGGGGUGAAAUCCCGGGGCUCAACCUCGGAAUUGCCUUUGAUACUGGGUGUCUUGAGUAUGAGAGAGGUGUGUGGAACUCCGAGUGUAGAGGUGAAAUUCGUAGAUAUUCGGAAGAACACCAGUGGCGAAGGCGACACACUGGCUCAUUACUGACGCUGAGGCCCCAUUACGUGGGGAGCAAACAGGAUUAGAUACCCUUGUAGUCGAAUUCU
This 456-nucleotide ribosomal RNA is filed under the name uncultured bacterium. RNAcentral's name for it is "bacterial SSU rRNA". It matches the Rfam family "Bacterial small subunit ribosomal RNA", at positions 329 to 802 of the family's 1533-position model. The record is from RNAcentral.